ACAUGGUUGUGAGCCUGCUGACACUGCCUGCCAACAAACCUUGAAUAAGCUGGAUUCGUGUACUACCUCCCAUUUUCCUUGGCUUUUAUUUGGGUACUUAAUUCACUCCAAAUUGAAUGGAAAGGAAGGUGCCUCCUCCAUCUAUUUCAUGUGUGAAUCUUUCUCAUGUUUUGACUUCAUCUGGGAAGUGAAACAGAGCAAAACAGAUGGACAAUACUGCAUUCACCAAAUUAACAUUAAAAUAAUAACAGGAGAGACGACAGCAAUGAAGAAUAGAAGAGGAUGAGGAUGUCACAGACUAAUUUCAAGGUGAAGCAUGAAGUCAGUUCGGCAAAUGGUUAUAAGCUUUAAAUUGAAGAUCGAUCAUUGAACGUUUAGAGAAUAUAGAGACUUUUGGUUAUCCGUCAGAAGUUCCACGUAACAGAGAUAAUUAAAAAAAAGUAUAUGAACUUCAGGAUGUUUAUUUGCCAAGUAACUGAAUUCUAGACACUAUUUACUGCAUGAUAUUACCAGAACAAAAAGCUGUCUGUUUUAAAAUUGCUUCCCCUGAAAAAAAUAAAUCAGUUCUCAAUAGGAAAUCACAGUAUAAAAGAGUGUAAGGGUGGGACAUGAAUCUAGGCAGUUUAAGUUCACUUUCAAAAUACCAUCAAAUGAGAUUUUCUGUGUUUAUAUCUACCAGAAUAGAAUAAUUGUUACAUGAUAUCUGAUGACAGCUCUGGGAAAUACAGCCACUAACGGCAGACUAAAUGACUAACUAAUUCCUUCUGGCUGCUACUUCUGGGAGGUGAAAGGUUACUUCUGCAUCUAUCCAAUUUCUUCUCUUGAGACUCCAAAACCAAUAAAAUUAGUUUGACCGGUCUUGCACCUAUGGCUACAAAAAUAUCUGACUUAGCAUCUGCUAAUCUGGGAAAUUAGGAGUUGAUGUCAGACAAAAAGAAAUCUUGGCUAA
This is a long non-coding RNA of Harpia harpyja (harpy eagle), 949 nucleotides long. RefSeq lists it as uncharacterized. The record is from RefSeq and is a predicted model, not a curated record. NCBI's taxonomy places the organism in Eukaryota, Metazoa, Chordata, Aves, Accipitriformes, Accipitridae. The transcript is spliced from 5 exons.